GCCGUCCGGCGCCUCGAACCUCCCUCCUUCUGCCGUCGCCCCCAAGCCCCCGCGAUUUCCUAGAGGUGCUCCGCUCGCUGCCGCUCGAAUUUGAACUUGCUGCUCCUUCAUCCCCGCACGACCGCUCCUCCUGCCAUCCUCGCCCACGAGCUCGUUGUGCUGCACAUGCGCCAAACAUCCUCGUCUCUGGUUUUGACUCCCUGUAACACUUGGUAAGAUAGCAAAUUCUUACAGUGUCAGUUCAACGAAAAAAACACCAACAGUUCAUCAAUCUCAAAAUUCCCAUUUUUGGUGCGCCGCGUGUUUGCUAAAAUGUCUUAAUGCACUGGACUACUAGUUUUGAUGUGUUCAUUGUUCAUUUGUAGCUCCCUUGUGCUUGCAAAUUGCUAUAAUUUACAAUACUUAGCAUUUGCAGCACCGAUGCAUCUUCUUCGCUAUCAGUUCAAGUGAUCAAAAUGGUAUAAAAAACAAGUUGAAUAUUCCUCGUUUUGUGUCUCUUUGGAUCCAAAACAUUUUCAAUUCUAGUGUAGCUUGCUGUAAGAAAAUAUAACUUCACUGUGCAAGAAGUUCAUCUUCUAUUCUGCCCCUAGAAAGAAGUUUGUCUUGUAAAGGUUGAAGCUAAUGGGCUAGGAAGCUUUAUAAGAAAUUGAUUUGCCUCUUCAUUGAAAAAGUUUGGUUUGCCUGUUCCGUGAAAAUGUCUUGCUAAAGAAAUAUCUCUUGUGCACUUAUUUAUUCGCCUGAAUAUUUGGUUUGAUUCUCAGGUGCGAAAUGUCUUGCUAAUCAAAGUUUGGUUUGAUUCUCAGGUGCGAGAAAUAUCUCUUGUGCACUAGUGGUUGGCUGCUCCCAGCGGUAAAUGUAGUCGGAUUCAGCAGCUAGCUCUUCCUCGAGCAACCAUUUGGAGAACUUUAUUGUCUUCUUGUGGUGGUGAUUGAUUUUAGGAUCUGUAAAUUUGACGUUGGUAGCUAGCUUAUGUAUGGAACCUGCAAGUUCAAUAUUGGUAUUAGAUUCAGUUUUUGUUGUAUAAAUGUCCCAAUGUUCACAUUUAUUUGGGUAAAAUUUUAUUUUAGUUCUGCUACAGAAACCAUGCAGGUUCAGUGAUGAUGAUACCAUAAGUUCGGAAAAGAAAAUUUAUGUAUAUGAUGAGAUGAUUGCUACUUCUUCAAAGAAGGUAUAGUACAUGACAGCUUGAUG
RNAcentral lists this long non-coding RNA (1191 nucleotides) under Triticum aestivum (bread wheat). Its description in RNAcentral is "long non-coding RNA (TAES_LNC017840)". Lineage: Eukaryota; Viridiplantae; Streptophyta; Magnoliopsida; Poales; Poaceae. The record is from RNAcentral.